Molecule: long non-coding RNA, 1292 nt
Organism: Danaus plexippus (monarch butterfly)
Lineage: Eukaryota; Metazoa; Arthropoda; Insecta; Lepidoptera; Nymphalidae
Exons: 2
Source: RefSeq, a predicted model, not a curated record
AUUACGUAUUGUUUCGUCUAGUCGUACGACAUUGUGUUUGCUUGGAUAUAAGAACUCUUUGGUAUAUAAUAUUUAAAGUUAGGAAUAAAAAAAAGAAAAGUAUAAAUAUGGCAACAUUUUAACACGAUAUCUAAGCCAGUUAGACGUAAGAUAUAUAAUUAUGUAGGUAUGCAUUAUAACUUGUUAUUCUUAUCCUUAUUCAGAUACAUCUUUUGAGUAUUUUAUUAUAUUGAUGUAGAAAACCCAAAUAGUAAAACAGUAUAUAUUACAGGUUAAAUAUAAUUUAAGUAAACUGUUUCCCGGAUACUAAAUCAUAUUAUUCAGAUUGUUUUUGUACCAAAAAUUGCUAUAUUCCAUUUUAUUGGGUAUUGAAAUUUACCUAUUCAAUUAAAUAGUUUCUAUAUAUCCUUCUUAUGGGACUUAAGUAUUAGAAGUUUAUCUAUUUAUUUAAACUGCACUGAUUUCUGGUAUAUUAUACGUCAGACAAAUAUGUAUUUUUUUAUAAUCUGAUAAUAAUCAAAUAAUUAUCUAAUCAGAUAACAGUUCCAAUCAAUACAUAGACCGCAUGCGCAAUCAUUGCUGUUAUACGUAUAAAAUUGAUUUCAUCACACUACACUUGAUGACACAUUAUGAUUAAAAUUAAUGUUCCUAUUUAUAUAAUUAAAAUUGCAUAUCAUCAUUUAUGAGCAACGCUCGCCAAUCCAUUAUUUUAGAGACACAAAAACGUUUUUAAACCAAAGGGGGCGAGCGCAGGAAUAACAUUUUCAGUAAUUUAUAAAAAUAAAUGCAUCUUAAUUUAAUGAUACAAAAUGUUCAACGUCCUGUGUCUCAAAUUCAAGUGAUGUAAAGCUUAUCACGAAAAAUACCGCUAUAAUGUAGCAAUGCGGGAGUGACAACAACAAUGCAAUAUAACGUGUGCCGCCAUCUCCAACGCAUCAGUUGCUCGCUAAACCAGUAACACGCAAACAAACAAGAUGGCGCGCAUUACUUUGUUGUUAUUUUGUUUUGUCCUUGUUUCCUGGUGUGAUGGAUAUUUGAUAAGAGGAAGAAGUUUCGAUGACAUCAAUACGAAAGAGAUUGAACUGAUUAAAGUAGACGGUAAUAUAAUCGACGGUGAUAUAGAUGAUUCGUCACCGCCCGUGAUUGAUAUCUUCGGUAAGAAGAAAUGUGCUGCCGUUGGAGAAUUCUGCAACAAUCACAGCGACUGCUGUUCUAAUUCCUGCUUAGGUUAUAUGAAGAGGUGUGUCUCAUAAAUUGAAACAAAUAUAGGUUAAUAAAUAUUUUAAUGCUCA